Molecule: ribosomal RNA, 1898 nt
Filed under: Escherichia coli
Lineage: Bacteria; Pseudomonadati; Pseudomonadota; Gammaproteobacteria; Enterobacterales; Enterobacteriaceae
Description: partial 23S ribosomal RNA
Rfam family: Bacterial large subunit ribosomal RNA
Source: RNAcentral
GCGAUACAGGGUGACAGCCCCGUACACAAAAAUGCACAUGCUGUGAGCUCGAUGAGUAGGGCGGGACACGUGGUAUCCUGUCUGAAUAUGGGGGGACCAUCCUCCAAGGCUAAAUACUCCUGACUGACCGAUAGUGAACCAGUACCGUGAGGGAAAGGCGAAAAGAACCCCGGCGAGGGGAGUGAAAAAGAACCUGAAACCGUGUACGUACAAGCAGUGGGAGCCUCUUAAUGGGGUGACUGCGUACCUUUUGUAUAAUGGGUCAGCGACUUAUAUUCUGUAGCAAGGUUAACCGAAUAGGGGAGCCGAAGGGAAACCGAGUCUUAACUGGGCGUUAAGUUGCAGGGUAUAGACCCGAAACCCGGUGAUCUAGCCAUGGGCAGGUUGAAGGUUGGGUAACACUAACUGGAGGACCGAACCGACUAAUGUUGAAAAAUUAGCGGAUGACUUGUGGCUGGGGGUGAAAGGCCAAUCAAACCGGGAGAUAGCUGGUUCUCCCCGAAAGCUAUUUAGGUAGCGCCUCGUGAAUUCAUCUCCGGGGGUAGAGCACUGUUUCGGCAAGGGGGUCAUCCCGACUUACCAACCCGAUGCAAACUGCGAAUACCGGAGAAUGUUAUCACGGGAGACACACGGCGGGUGCUAACGUCCGUCGUGAAGAGGGAAACAACCCAGACCGCCAGCUAAGGUCCCAAAGUCAUGGUUAAGUGGGAAACGAUGUGGGAAGGCCCAGACAGCCAGGAUGUUGGCUUAGAAGCAGCCAUCAUUUAAAGAAAGCGUAAUAGCUCACUGGUCGAGUCGGCCUGCGCGGAAGAUGUAACGGGGCUAAACCAUGCACCGAAGCUGCGGCAGCGACACUAUGUGUUGUUGGGUAGGGGAGCGUUCUGUAAGCCUGUGAAGGUGGCCUGUGAGGGUUGCUGGAGGUAUCAGAAGUGCGAAUGCUGACAUAAGUAACGAUAAAGCGGGUGAAAAGCCCGCUCGCCGGAAGACCAAGGGUUCCUGUCCAACGUUAAUCGGGGCAGGGUGAGUCGACCCCUAAGGCGAGGCCGAAAGGCGUAGUCGAUGGGAAACAGGUUAAUAUUCCUGUACUUGGUGUUACUGCGAAGGGGGGACGGAGAAGGCUAUGUUGGCCGGGCGACGGUUGUCCCGGUUUAAGCGUGUAGGCUGGUUUUCCAGGCAAAUCCGGAAAACCAAGGCUGAGGCGUGAUGACGAGGCACUACGGUGCUGAAGUGACAAAUGCCCUGCUUCCAGGAAAAGCCUCUAAGCAUCAGGUAACAUCAAAUCGUACCCCAAACCGACACAGGUGGUCAGGUAGAGAAUACCAAGGCGCUUGAGAGAACUCGGGUGAAGGAACUAGGCAAAAUGGUGCCGUAACUUCGGGAGAAGGCACGCUGAUAUGUAGGUGAAGCGACUUGCUCGUGGAGCUGAAAUCAGUCGAAGAUACCAGCUGGCUGCAACUGUUUAUUAAAAACACAGCACUGUGCAAACACGAAAGUGGACGUAUACGGUGUGACGCCUGCCCGGUGCCGGAAGGUUAAUUGAUGGGGUUAGCGGUAACGCGAAGCUCUUGAUCGAAGCCCCGGUAAACGGCGGCCGUAACUAUAACGGUCCUAAGGUAGCGAAAUUCCUUGUCGGGUAAGUUCCGACCUGCACGAAUGGCGUAAUGAUGGCCAGGCUGUCUCCACCCGAGACUCAGUGAAAUUGAACUCGCUGUGAAGAUGCAGUGUACCCGCGGCAAGACGGAAAGACCCCGUGAACCUUUACUAUAGCUUGACACUGAACAUUGAGCCUUGAUGUGUAGGAUAGGUGGGAGGCUUUGAAGUGUGGACGCCAGUCUGCAUGGAGCCGACCUUGAAAUACCACCCUUUAAUGUUUGAUGUUCUAACGUUGGCCCCUAAUC